RNAcentral lists this ribosomal RNA (501 nucleotides) under uncultured bacterium. RNAcentral describes it as "bacterial SSU rRNA". It matches the Rfam family "Bacterial small subunit ribosomal RNA", at positions 96 to 615 of the family's 1533-position model. The record is from RNAcentral.
UGGCGGACGGGUGAGUAACGCGUGAGGAACCUGCCUUUCAGUGGGGGACAACAGUUGGAAACGACUGCUAAUACCGCAUAAUGUAUUCUGACCGCAUGAUCGGAAUACCAAAGAUUUAUUGCUGAAAGAUGGCCUCGCGUCUGAUUAGCUAGUUGGUGAGGUAAUGGCCCACCAAGGCGACGAUUGGUAGCCGGACUGAGAGGUUGAACGGCCACAUUGGGACUGAGACACGGCCCAGACUCCUACGGGAGGCAGCAGUGGGGGAUAUUGCACAAUGGGGGAAACCCUGAUGCAGCGACGCCGCGUGGAGGAAGAAGGUUUUCGGAUUGUAAACUCCUGUCGUUAGGGACGAUAAUGACGGUACCUAACAAGAAAGCACCGGCUAACUACGUGCCAGCAGCCGCGGUAAAACGUAGGGUGCAAGCGUUGUCCGGAAUUACUGGGUGUAAAGGGAGCGCAGGCGGGAAGACAAGUUGGAAGUGAAAACCAUGGGCUCAACCC